GGGGGUGUAGCUCAGUUGGGAGAGCGCCUGCUUUGCAAGCAGGAGGUCGACGGUUCGAGCCCGUUCACCUCCA
Molecule: transfer RNA, 73 nt
Filed under: Chloroflexota bacterium
Lineage: Bacteria; Bacillati; Chloroflexota
Also listed under: 3 other names
Description: Chloroflexi bacterium tRNA-Ala
Rfam family: tRNA
About the family: Transfer RNA (tRNA) molecules are approximately 80 nucleotides in length. Their secondary structure includes four short double-helical elements and three loops (D, anti-codon, and T loops).
Source: RNAcentral